This 330-nucleotide ribosomal RNA is filed under the name uncultured eukaryote. RNAcentral's name for it is "partial 18S ribosomal RNA". It matches the Rfam family "Eukaryotic small subunit ribosomal RNA", at positions 1470 to 1796 of the family's 1831-position model. The record is from RNAcentral.
CCCUUAGAUGUUCUGGGCUGCACGCGCGCUACACUGAUGCAUCCAGCGAGUUGUACCCUUGCUUGGUAAAGUUUGGUAAUCUGAGGCUAAUGUGCAUCGUGAUGGGAAUAGAGUUUUGCAACUAUUAGUCUUGAACGAGGAAUUCCUCGUAAGCACGAGUCAUCAGCUUGUGCUGAUUACGUCCCUGCCCUUUGUACACACCGCCCGUCGCACCUACCGAUUGAAUGGUCCGGUGAAAUCUUCGGAUCUGAGAGAUGUCUGAUUAAUUUCGGACGCCUUUUGGAAAAGUUGCUUAAACCUUACCAUUUAGAGGAAGGUGAAGUCGUAACA